Molecule: ribosomal RNA, 894 nt
Filed under: Triticum aestivum (bread wheat)
Lineage: Eukaryota; Viridiplantae; Streptophyta; Magnoliopsida; Poales; Poaceae
Description: partial small subunit ribosomal RNA
Source: RNAcentral
AUGACCGACGACGUCGCCGCUAAGAAGAAGGCCACGGACGACGCCGAGGCUGCUGUUGCCGCCGCCGCGUUGGCCUGGCCAACCGGAGGGUAUGAUCUGUUCAUACCUCGUUUACUCGUAUUUAUGCUAGCCGUAUAUGUGCUGCUCAUAGAAGGUUCGAUUCUAUGUUCUGUACGUGCUAGUAUGCUUAGGUAUUGCUAUGAGAUGCAUGCCUUUUAUGCCAUGCUUACUGUUUACUCGUGGAUAAGUCUUAUUGGAAAAGUGCUAAUAUUUCCAACAAUCCAAAAACCUUAUUUUAGGCACUUUUCGAUUCAAGGCUUUGCUGCUACUCUGAAACCAAAAAAGUUUACCGGGAUGCAUUUUAAGCGUUGGCAGACUAGGACCACCUUGUGGCUCACAGCGAUGAACAUGUUCUGGGUUGGUGGUGUGUCCCUCACAGAAACGAUUGCUCCUGAACAGGAGAAGGCGUUUAGGGAGGCAACCACAAUCUUUCUGAGAGCAGUUCUGAGUGUGAUUGGAGACAAGUUGGUUGACGCCUAUAUUCAUAUGGGGGUUGCCAAAAACUUCUGGGAUGCGCUCGAAGUCAAAUUCGGCGCAACUGAUGCUGGUAGUGAGCUGUAUGCCAUGGAGCGGUUCCAUGAUUACAGGAUGGUUGAUAACCGUUUUGUAUUGGACCAGGCUCAUGAGAUACAGUGCAUUGCUAAGGAGCUGGAGCUCCUGAAGUGUGAGUUAUCGGACAAGUUUGUUGCGGGUUGCAUUAUUGCAAAACUCCCUCCUAGUUGGAGGAACUUUGCUACUUCUCUCAAGCACUUGAGACGUGAAUUCUCUGUUGAGAAUGUCAUCGGUCAUCUCAGUGUUGAGCAGAACUCGAGAGCAAAGGACUCACACAUGAAA